CUAAGGCCUGAUGAAAGCCUUGGGGCGCCAGGAGGGGCAGAGAGGCAGCCCUUGCACCUCACCAUGCUGCUCUGCUCUGCCAGAGUUCCUCCAGAGCCCACUGCCUCAAGGAAGAUGUCUGUCAUUAAAGGGCAAAUGAUCUCCUUGGAAUUCCUAGUUGGCCAGGAGCACUGCCUGAGAAGGAAGGCUGAGGAAUUCAGGGAAGGUUUAAAUUGGAUUCCACCAACCUUUUCCCACAAUUUGAUGAGCAUUUUAAUUCUGUGCAACUGGACUCAGUGUUCCCAGGUCCUAACUCAACUCUGAAAUGGGAUUCAGAAAUCCUCACUGCAUUCUCACCUGUCCAGACAAGAUGGAAAAGUCUAAUUCCAUUUCAAUUCAUUAUUUGUUCAACCAGUAGUUAUUGGACACCAACUGUAUGCUAGGUGCUCAGGGGAAUUCAUCAGUCCCCUGGAGUUUACAGUAGAGCAGACACAGCAAAUACUUGUUACUAUUGUGCACAGUCAUGAGAACUUAUUUUAAAUAAAGGAUGUUGGUGAAUGAAACACGUUUACUAAAUCCAACGGCUGCCGUCACAAGAAUAUCCUGCAAAUGCUAGCUUCUUGUUCUCUAUUGUUAAUAUAUGAAAAAUGUGACUGCCUUCCCCGGUGAGUAUAGACACUUCCUGUACAUAUUUUUCAAAAUGUAUCAAUGGUCAAGGGGCCAGUAGGAGCUAGACAUGAGGGUUUUCUAAGAGUUUCACCACACCUUCUAUCCUGGGUCUAUGAGUUUGAUCCUUGCAUCUCCAGGCAUCUGCAUAGGACUGUGAAAGUUAAUGGGAGAAGCAGAACAAAUGGAGAUUUCUGGA
RNAcentral lists this long non-coding RNA (844 nucleotides) under Rhinopithecus bieti (black snub-nosed monkey). Its description in RNAcentral is "lncRNA (ENSRBIG00000045667.1)". The record is from RNAcentral. Lineage: Eukaryota; Metazoa; Chordata; Mammalia; Primates; Cercopithecidae.